CAGAGACCCGCUGAAAGGUCACCCCAGAAUGGCUGUGUUGGGAGGGGCUUGCUUAGCAGUGUGGGUCCUGAACUGUGAUCUUUAACUCUCCACUUUGGGGGGUAAAAGCAAGAGUAAAGAAUUCCAAAGGAGCCCCAAAUUCAGAUUUUUGGAAUGAUAAUAUAACCAGAAGUUUUUUUUUUCCUCUCUCUGAAUUACUGUAAACAGCAAGGAGACACAGCCCAUGCAGUUCUUUUAAAUAAGCAGUGAGAAGCCCCUGUGUCUUCCUGGAGGUUUGUAAGCAGAUGUUGCUGAGCCUGCAUCAGACUGGGUUUCUACAUCAUUUAAUCACUUGUCUUGACAUAUCACUUCCGGACACUGCUUGAACCUGUGCAGAAUGAGUUGAGGAGUUUUUUCUGCUACAAAUCCAAGUCCUUGCACAGGCUGAUUUGUUGUACUUAUGAACUAUAUUCCAUGGUAUGUUCCCUUUAUUGUCAACUUCAUACAAGCUAGAGUUAUCAGGAAAGAGGAAAACCUCAAAUGAGAAAAUUCUUCCAUCUGCUUGACCCAUAGGUUCCCGCCUUGAGUUCCUGUCCUGACUUCCCUUCACGAUAGUCUGAAAGCUGUAAGAUCAAAUAAACCCUUUCCUGAGUUGAUUUUGGUCCUGGUCUUCAUUCAGAUCAAUACAAACCUUAGAUGCCACAUACCAGCAUGUGAUGAAGACCAGGGGUCCUCUAAGAAGACCAUGAGCUGGGAUUGCCCAAUCUUAAAGUUUUGUCCUCCAAAACUAUCAAGAUGCAGAACUCUCAGCUACUUGUCCAGCACCAUGUCUGCCUGCAUGCCGCCAGGUUUUCCACCAUGACAAGAAUGGACUAAAUCUCUGAACUGUAUGCCAGCCUCAGUUAAGUGUUUUCCUUUUUAAGAGUUGCCAUAGUCCACUGCGGCCGUCCUCCAAGCCCCAGCCAGAGUUCUGCCCUACUGCAAGGAACUCAG
RNAcentral lists this long non-coding RNA (972 nucleotides) under Cricetulus griseus (Chinese hamster). Its description in RNAcentral is "lncRNA (ENSCGRG00015039715.1)". The record is from RNAcentral. Lineage: Eukaryota; Metazoa; Chordata; Mammalia; Rodentia; Cricetidae.